This 406-nucleotide long non-coding RNA is filed under the name Ananas comosus (pineapple). RNAcentral's name for it is "long non-coding RNA (ACOM_LNC007786)". Lineage: Eukaryota; Viridiplantae; Streptophyta; Magnoliopsida; Poales; Bromeliaceae. The record is from RNAcentral.
UUGUUAAAAGUGUAUUUGGUUAGCCGUAAGAUAUAUCAAAAAUUACUUUUUGGCUUGAAAUUUUGAUAUUUGGAUAUUUGUUUAGCCAUACUUUCGAAAAACUAUUUUUACAUAUUUGAGAAAAAUAGUGUUUUCGUUUUCUGCCGAAAAUCGGCGAAAAACGAAAAUUCAAGCCGCAUAAAACUUUUUUCAUUCAUUUUUUUUUCUACCAAACCAAACGAAUGCGAAUUUUUUUCUUUCGAUCAAACAAAUAUAGAUGAACAAAUUACUUUUUUUUCUACGAACCAAAAACAAUAAAACGUAAAACUCUUUCCCAUCAAUUUUUUUUCUUUCACAAAAAUUAUUUUUUUCUAUUUUACGUACAACCAAACACCAUCUUAGUUACGAGUUUCGGAACAUUAUUUUC